AUGCUAGGGUGCUCACUUCCGAACAAGUUAAACACCCCUCCUAACGCCACCGCUGUGGUCUUUAUAUAAGCAUCACAAGUAAGCUCUGGGACUCACAGUGCACAUGAGUCGGAAUGGAAAUCCUACAUUUACAACGAAACAUAGCAGUAUUUUUACUGAUAGUACUUUUGCUUAGCAAUUUUAGCGACGGUUCAAAUUUCCGGGGCAGCCGAAUAUACAGAAGAAGAAUGGUGCGCAGAGUGCCAACAAAAGGUUCCUCYUCUAAACUUAUGAUUACCAAUGAUGGUAAAGUAGUUAUACAAGGGACGAAAAAACCACUUACUGAACAAGAACAUUACCAACAGAGUAAUGACGAAAAUCUAGAUAUACCCAAAUAUUUCGACACAAGAAAUAUUGAUCGAGAGAUUCGAUAUUUCUUCCAUUGACUGGUAAGGACAAGUUGAAUGGCGGUAAUCCAGAAGAGAAAGGCUUGUUUGAUGAUGCUAUGUUCCAGAUGAUUUCGAGAGCUUGUUGUAUGUCAUCGCGUAAAAAAYGACUUACUUUAUGUACAGCYGUUUUACUCUUUGUGCGCAGUAUUUAUUUUUAUCGUAUAAAAAAUCCAACAUUGUAUGAAAGCACAAGAGAGAUCAAAUGUACUAGCAAAAUAAAUAUAUUUAUAUAGCAAAUAGUGAACGAAGUAUAAAUAAAAAAAUUACUGA
Molecule: long non-coding RNA, 698 nt
Organism: Exaiptasia diaphana
Lineage: Eukaryota; Metazoa; Cnidaria; Anthozoa; Actiniaria; Aiptasiidae
Exons: 2
Source: RefSeq, a predicted model, not a curated record